GGGGGGGGACACAUUUUACCACUUUGGAAGUGUCUCUCGCGCAAACUAUUCAGUUUAGAAAAAAAUGAUAUUAGAAACCUCAAUAUCAUUUUUGAAGACCUAUCCAUAGAUACCCCACACGUAUGGGUUUGAUGAAAAAAAAUUUUUUUAGGGAUUUAUGACGUAUUAAAAAAAACUACUUACUAGAUCUCGUUUAAACCAAUUUUCGGUGGAAGUUUGCAUGGUAAUGUAUAUCAUAUAUUUUUUUUAGUUUUAUCAUUCUCUUAUUUUAGAAGUUACAGGGGGGGGGGACACAUUUUACCACUUUGGAAGUGUCUCUCGCGCAAACCAUUCAGUUUAGAAAAAAAUGAUAUUAGAAACCU
Long non-coding RNA from Cydia amplana, 362 nucleotides. RefSeq lists it as uncharacterized. NCBI's taxonomy places the organism in Eukaryota, Metazoa, Arthropoda, Insecta, Lepidoptera, Tortricidae. The transcript has 2 exons. The record is from RefSeq and is a predicted model, not a curated record.